UGCCAGCAGCCGCGGUAAUACGAAGGGCCCGAGCGUUGCGCGGAAUCACUGGGCUUAAAGCGUGCGUAGGCGGACAUGCAGGCGUUUUGUGAAAUCCCUCGGCUCAACCGAGGAAUUGCUUGACGAACCGCAUGUCUUGAGGCAGGUAGGGGCUGUCGGAACGAUAGGUGGAGUGGUGAAAUGCGUUGAUAUCUAUCGGAACACCGAAGGAGAAAUCAGGCAGCUGGGCCUGUCCUGACGCUGAGGCACGAAAGCGUGGGGAGCGAACGGGAUUAGAUA
RNAcentral lists this ribosomal RNA (279 nucleotides) under uncultured bacterium. RNAcentral describes it as "partial 16S ribosomal RNA". It matches the Rfam family "Bacterial small subunit ribosomal RNA", at positions 506 to 784 of the family's 1533-position model. The record is from RNAcentral.